Molecule: ribosomal RNA, 679 nt
Filed under: Clostridioides difficile
Lineage: Bacteria; Bacillati; Bacillota; Clostridia; Peptostreptococcales; Peptostreptococcaceae
Description: bacterial LSU rRNA
Rfam family: Bacterial large subunit ribosomal RNA
Source: RNAcentral
ACCCACGAGCGUUGAAAAGCUCGGGGAUGACUUGUGGGUAGCGGUGAAAUUCCAAUCGAGCCCGGAGAUAGCUGGUUCUCCCCGAAAUAGCUUUAGGGCUAGCCUCAAGGUGAGAGAUACGGAGGUAGAGCACUGAAUGUCCUAGGGGGUAUUGCACCUACCGAAGACUAUCAAACUCCGAAUGCCGUCAUCUUAUACUUGGGAGUCAGACUGUGGGUGAUAAGAUUCAUAGUCGAAAGGGCAACAGCCCAGAUCGUCAGCUAAGGUCCCUAAAUGUAAGUUAAGUGGUAAAGGAUGUGGGAUUGCACAGACAACCAGGAUGUUGGCUUAGAAGCAGCCACUCAUUCAAAGAGUGCGUAAUAGCUCACUGGUCGAGUGAUCCUGCGCCGAAGAUUUCCGGGGCUAAAACUUACUACCGAAGCUACGGCAUCAGUAAUGAUGGGUAGGGGAGCUUCCCAUACGGGUUGAAGCAUGACCGUAAGGACAUGUGGACAGUAUGGGAGUGAGAAUGUUGGCAUGAGUAGCGAGAUGUGGGUGAGAAUCCCACAGGCCGUAAACCCAAGGUUUCCAGGGGAAGGUUCGGCCGCCCUGGGUUAGUCGGGACCUAAGCUGAGGCCGAAAGGCGUAGGUGAUGGACAACAGGUUGAUAUUCCUGUACUACCGAUAACCGUUUGAGAGA